Molecule: RNase P RNA, 268 nt
Filed under: Lachnospiraceae bacterium
Lineage: Bacteria; Bacillati; Bacillota; Clostridia; Lachnospirales; Lachnospiraceae
Description: partial RNase P RNA component class A
Rfam family: Bacterial RNase P class A
About the family: Ribonuclease P (RNase P) is a ubiquitous endoribonuclease, found in archaea, bacteria and eukarya as well as chloroplasts and mitochondria. Its best characterised activity is the generation of mature 5'-ends of tRNAs by cleaving the 5'-leader elements of precursor-tRNAs. Cellular RNase Ps are ribonucleoproteins.
Source: RNAcentral
UGAGCGAAACGGACGAUCGCGGGAGCUUAGGCUCGUGAGGAAAGUCCGGGCUCCGCAGGGCAGGAUGCCGGAUAACGUCCGGCGGAGGAAACUCCCGGGCCAGUGCAACAGAAAAUAACCGCCUGCUUUAGGCAGGUAAGGGUGAAAAGGCGGUGUAAGAGACCACCAGUCGCAUGGUAACAUGCGAAGUCGUGUAAACCCCAUCCGGAGCAAGACCAAACAGAAAGGUUAAGGGCUGCCCGCCCGUCUUUCAGGUAGGUCGCUUGAU